Molecule: ribosomal RNA, 449 nt
Filed under: uncultured bacterium
Lineage: Bacteria
Description: partial 16S ribosomal RNA
Rfam family: Bacterial small subunit ribosomal RNA
Source: RNAcentral
AGCGAACGCUGGCGGCAGGCCUAACACAUGCAAGUCGAACGAAGUCUUCGGACUUAGUGGCGGACGGGUGAGUAACACGUGGGAACGUGCCUUUAGGUUCGGAAUAACUCAGGGAAGCUUGUGCUAAUACCGGAUGUGCCCUUCGGGGGAAAGAUUUAUCGCCUUUAGAGCGGCCCGCGUCUGAUUAGCUAGUUGGUGAGGUAAAGGCUCACCAAGGCGACGAUCAGUAGCUGGUCUGAGAGGAUGAUCAGCCACAUUGGGACUGAGACACGGCCCAAACUCCUACGGGAGGCAGCAGUGGGGAAUCUUGCGCAAUGGGCGAAAGCCUGGCGCAGCCAUGCCGCGUGAAUGAUGAAGGUCUUAGGAUUGUAAAAUUCUUUCACCGGGGACGAUAAUGACGGUACCCGGAGAAGAAGCCCCGGCUAACUUCGUGCCAGCCGCCGCGGUAA